Molecule: long non-coding RNA, 278 nt
Filed under: Olea europaea subsp. europaea
Lineage: Eukaryota; Viridiplantae; Streptophyta; Magnoliopsida; Lamiales; Oleaceae
Source: RNAcentral
CCACAACUCCUCUUCAGUAACAAAUAAUUCAAACUAGAACUCCCAGGUAGAGUGAUUUUUUCUAGUGAAUUUAAUACAAAAGUUGAAGUUGCUGGAAGAUGUACCUAUGUUUUACUAAGAAUCGAAGUGAAAUUGGAAACUAACCAAAAUCCAAAAGACUUCAGAAGCUAACACAAACUCCUCUGUUGUAGUAUACAACCAAACUGGGAGAAGAAAUCUGACUAUAGGACUUUGACAAAAUUUAAACCUUAAAAACCAAAGUAACGGAAUCAAAUAAA